GUUGCUGCUGUUCAGCACUUCUGUAACUUAGACACACACAGAAAUGGGAACCCUUUGCAGCCAGUAGUGGAGCAUGAGUGUGGACCCUUCAGGCUUUGUCUGAUUUCUUCCUGUUUCUCCAACGUGUUGCUAAACCGUGGCAAUGGAAGAGCUCAUCUCUAGGCUGCCAAACCCGUGCUGCCUUCCAGGUAAAUGUCUGACUAUCACAGUAAUAGAAGGAUCCUUGAAGUGUUUUCCUUCACAUGCAUAGAAGGCCCUCAAGUACAAGGCACCAAAGAACCACACCCAAGAAGAUCUAAGGUCCUCGGGCUUCCACAACAGGAAUCUGUUUCAGCUGGGUCAGCAAGAUCUCAGUCAGCUUCAUUAGCUUCAGAAAUUUGUGCCCAGAGC
This 390-nucleotide long non-coding RNA is filed under the name Anser brachyrhynchus (Pink-footed goose). RNAcentral describes it as "lncRNA (ENSABRG00000022073.1)". Lineage: Eukaryota; Metazoa; Chordata; Aves; Anseriformes; Anatidae. The record is from RNAcentral.